AGCGAACGCUGGCGGCAGGCCUAACACAUGCAAGUCGAACGAAGUCUUCGGACUUAGUGGCGGACGGGUGAGUAACACGUGGGAACGUACCUUUUGGUUCGGAACAACUCAGGGAAACUUGAGCUAAUACCGGAUGAGCCCUUCGGGGGAAAGAUUUAUCGCCAUUAGAGCGGCCCGCGUUAGAUUAGCUAGUUGGUGAGGUAAAGGCUCACCAAGGCUACGAUCUAUAGCUGGUCUGAGAGGAUGAUCAGCCACACUGGGACUGAGACACGGCCCAGACUCCUACGGGAGGCAGCAGUGGGGAAUCUUGCGCAAUGGGCGAAAGCCUGACGCAGCCAUGCCGCGUGAAUGAUGAAGGUCUUAGGAUUGUAAAAUUCUUUUACCAGGGACGAUAAUGACGGUACCUGGAGAAAAAGCCCCGGCUAACUUCGUGCCAGCCGCCGCAGUAA
RNAcentral lists this ribosomal RNA (449 nucleotides) under uncultured bacterium. Its description in RNAcentral is "partial 16S ribosomal RNA". It matches the Rfam family "Bacterial small subunit ribosomal RNA", at positions 29 to 523 of the family's 1533-position model. The record is from RNAcentral.